RNAcentral lists this small nuclear RNA (110 nucleotides) under Tupaia belangeri (northern tree shrew). Lineage: Eukaryota; Metazoa; Chordata; Mammalia; Scandentia; Tupaiidae. The record is from RNAcentral.
GUGCUCAUUCAGCAGCACAUAUACUAAAAAUGGAAUGAUACAGAGAAGAUUAAUUAACAUGGCUCCUGCAAAAGAUGAUAUGCAAAAUUUAACAAGAAAAAAUAAAUACU